AUUGAACGCUGGCGGCAGGCUUAACACAUGCAAGUCGAGCGGGGUGAUGGUGCUUGCACUAUCACUUAGCGGCGGACGGGUGAGUAAUGCUUAGGAAUCUGCCUAUUAGUGGGGGACAACAUCUCGAAAGGGAUGCUAAUACCGCAUACGUCCUACGGGAGAAAGCAGGGGAUCACUUGUGACCUUGCGCUAAUAGAUGAGCCUAAGUCGGAUUAGCUAGUUGGUGGGGUAAAGGCCUACCAAGGCGACGAUCUGUAGCGGGUCUGAGAGGAUGAUCGGCCACACUGGGACUGAGAAACGGCCCAGACUCCUACGGGAGGCAGCAGUGGGGAAUAUUGGACAAUGGGGGGAACCCUGAUCCAGCCAUGCCGCGUGUGUGAAGAAGGCCUUAUGGUUGUAAAGCACUUUAAGCGAGGAGGAGGCUCUUUUGGUUAAUACCCAAGAUGAGUGGACGUUACUCGCGGAAUAAGCACCGGCUAACUCUGUGCCAGCCGCCGCAGUAA
Molecule: ribosomal RNA, 503 nt
Filed under: uncultured bacterium
Lineage: Bacteria
Description: partial 16S ribosomal RNA
Rfam family: Bacterial small subunit ribosomal RNA
Source: RNAcentral